Molecule: ribosomal RNA, 518 nt
Filed under: uncultured Planctomycetota bacterium
Lineage: Bacteria; Pseudomonadati; Planctomycetota
Description: bacterial SSU rRNA
Rfam family: Bacterial small subunit ribosomal RNA
Source: RNAcentral
ACGCNUGGCGGCGUGGCUAAGACAUGCAAGUCGAACGGUCCGGUAUUUAUUUGUUUACAAAUUGUGCCGGAUAGUGGCGAAAGGGUGAGUAAUGGGUAGGUAACGUACCUCGUGCUUCGGGAUAGCGUCUGUUUACCUUCGGGUAAACUUCCGAAAGGGGCAAUAAUACCGAAUAAUAUCAGGUCUCGUAAGGUAUCUGAUCAAAGAUUUAUCGGUAUAAGAGCGGCCUACCUCCUAUCAGCUUGUUGGUGAGGUAAUGGCUCACCAAGGCUAUGACGGGUAGCGGGACUGAGAGGUUGGCCCGCCACAUCGGGACUGAGACACUGCCCGGACCUCCACGGAGGGCUGCAGUAACGAAUCUUGCGCAAUGGGCGAAAGCCUGACGCAGCGACGCCGCGUGCGGGAAGAAGUCCCUCGGGAUGUAAACCGCUGUCAGGGGGAAGAAAGUGCGCUCCGGCGUAUUGAUCCAACCCAAAGGAAGUCACGGCUAACUUCGUGCCAGCAGCCGCGGUAAUACG